GCAACGCGAAGAACCUUACCUGGUCUUGACAUCCCGGAGACCCUUAGGAAACUAGGGGUGCUCCAUCUGGAAGAAUCUGGAGACAGGUGCUGCAUGGCUGUCGUCAGCUCGUGUCGUGAGAUGUUGGGUUAAGUCCCGCAACGAGCGCAACCCUUGCCUUUAGUUGCCAGCAGUUCGGCUGGGCACUCUAAAGGGACUGCCGGUGUUAAACCGGAGGAAGGUGGGGAUGACGUCAAGUCCUCAUGGCCUUUAUGACCAGGGCUACACACGUACUACAAUGGCCGAUACAAAGGGCAGCGACACUGCGAGGUGAAGCCAAUCCCGUAAAAUCGGUCUCAGUCCGGAUUGGAGUCUGCAACUCGACUCCAUGAAGUUGGAAUCGCUAGUAAUCGUGGAUCAGCAUGCCACGGUGAAUACGUUCCCGGGCCUU
Molecule: ribosomal RNA, 430 nt
Filed under: uncultured Desulfobulbus sp.
Lineage: Bacteria; Pseudomonadati; Thermodesulfobacteriota; Desulfobulbia; Desulfobulbales; Desulfobulbaceae
Description: bacterial SSU rRNA
Rfam family: Bacterial small subunit ribosomal RNA
Source: RNAcentral